UCCUCUUAUUUAUGAAGUGCAACAGGGAACGACAUUUUGGAUACGAUGAAGGUGGGUGGAGUCCACACGCCCAUAAAUAAGGACGAAAGCAGGUUUAAAGGAACAAAUCCUCUUAUUUAUGGAGAAGUGCAACAGGGAACGACAUUUAGGUUACGAUGAAGGUGGGUGGAGUCCACACGCCCAUAAAUAAGGACGAAAGCAGUUUUAAAGAAACAAAUCCUCUUAUUUAUGGAG
Molecule: long non-coding RNA, 234 nt
Organism: Amphimedon queenslandica
Lineage: Eukaryota; Metazoa; Porifera; Demospongiae; Haplosclerida; Niphatidae
Exons: 3
Source: RefSeq, a predicted model, not a curated record